This 842-nucleotide long non-coding RNA is filed under the name Fragaria vesca (wild strawberry). Its description in RNAcentral is "long non-coding RNA (FVES_LNC002931)". Lineage: Eukaryota; Viridiplantae; Streptophyta; Magnoliopsida; Rosales; Rosaceae. The record is from RNAcentral.
GUUGUCUGUAAUUUGUUGAAUAAUACUAGAUGAGCUACGUUAUGAAUCAAUAAACAACGCUUAGCUAGAAAUGUAUAUGAUCAAUCAUUUUUAGCUAGAAAUGUAUAUGAUCAAUCAUUUUUUACUUUUUAUUUUAUUACACUAACAACUGAUAAAACAACUCGCCCUUGAUGAGUUGAAUUCAUGGCCUUUCAUUUAUAAAUGAGAGGCUAACCUCACAAGAACAUAUGGCACUGAUUGUACUGUAGAUAGUUUGAAAUGAUCUUUCAGAGAUUAUGAACAUUUUAUGAUGAUAUAUUUCCAUAAUACAGGCGAAGAGGGAUGAGAUUCAGAACAAAGCAUCAGAGACAGCUCAUGCUGCCCAACACAAGGCAUCUCAAGCAUCUCAGGCUGCCCAAAACAAGGCAGGAGAUGCUUCUAGCACUGCCCAAGAUAUCAAGGACCAAGCCUCCCACCUCCUUCAACAGGCAUGCAUGAAACUACUUAGCCCUACCUCUAUUUUUCUAUAUCAUAUAUCUGUUAAUGUCAUCUCUAUUCAUUUAGUACUGUGCAAUGCUACAUGAACUGCAUUUCUGAAUCGCGUUACGAGUAGAAACUGUGUUUGAUACGGAUCAGACAUGUCAUAACAAUCUGCAUAACUCACUGCAGACUGGAGAGCAAGUGAAAAGCAUGGCUCAGGGAGCAGCUGAGGCAGUAAAGAACACUUUGGGAAUGAAUAAUGCUAACCACCCAAACAAUCCAAGCAACAACCCAAGCAAUCCAAGCAACAACCCAAGCAACCCACACAACGCUAGCAACCUUAGCAACCCAAGCCACCCAAACAACCCAAGCAACAACCCAAG